RNAcentral lists this ribosomal RNA (253 nucleotides) under uncultured bacterium. Its description in RNAcentral is "partial 16S ribosomal RNA". It matches the Rfam family "Bacterial small subunit ribosomal RNA", at positions 524 to 776 of the family's 1533-position model. The record is from RNAcentral.
UACAUGGGGUGCAAACGUUGCUCGGAAUUAUUGGGCGUAAAGCGCACGUAGGCGGUUUGUUAAGUCGGAUGUGAAAUCCCUCGGCUCAACUGAGGAAGUGCAUCCGAAACUGGCAGGCUUGAGUACUAAAGAGGGUCGCGGAAUUCCCGGUGUAGAGGUGAAAUUCGUAGAUAUUCGGAGGAACACCAGUGGCGAAGGCGGCUCACUGGUCCAUUACUGACGCUGAGGUGCGAAAGCGUGGGGAGCAAACAGG